CCUANGGGGGGCAGCAGUGAGGAAUAUUGCGCAAUGGAGGAAACUCUGACGCAGCGACGCCGCGUGAAGGAUGAAGGCCCUCUGGGUCGUAAACUUCUGUAGAGAGGGAAGAAUUUCUCGUUUCACGAGAUUGACGGUACCUCUAAAGUAAGGGUCGGCUAACUACGUGCCAGCAGCCGCGGUAAUACGUAGGACCCAAGCGUUGUCCGGAUUUACUGGGUGUAAAGGGAGCGCAGGCGGAUUUUCAAGUCGAUGGUGAAAUCUUGCGGCUCAACCGCAAAACAGCCGUUGAUACUGUUAAUCUUGAGUAUGGAAGAGAGUGGCGGAAUUCAUGGUGUAGCAGUGAAAUGCGUAGAUAUCAUGAAGAACACCGGUUGCGAAGGCGGCCACUUAGUCCAUUACUGACGCUCAUGCUCGAAAGCGUGGGGAUCAAACAGGAUUAGAUACCCGUNUANUC
This 457-nucleotide ribosomal RNA is filed under the name uncultured bacterium. RNAcentral describes it as "bacterial SSU rRNA". It matches the Rfam family "Bacterial small subunit ribosomal RNA", at positions 338 to 795 of the family's 1533-position model. The record is from RNAcentral.